Molecule: ribosomal RNA, 468 nt
Filed under: uncultured bacterium
Lineage: Bacteria
Description: partial 16S ribosomal RNA
Rfam family: Bacterial small subunit ribosomal RNA
Source: RNAcentral
GACGAACGCUGGCGGCGUGCUUAACACAUGCAAGUCGAACGGAAAGGCCCUGCUUUUGUGGGGUGCUCGAGUGGCGAACGGGUGAGUAACACGUGAGUAACCUGCCCUUGACUUUGGGAUAACUUCAGGAAACUGGGGCUAAUACCGGAUAGGAGCUCCUGCUGCAUGGUGGGGGUUGGAAAGUUUCGGCGGUUGGGGAUGGACUCGCGGCUUAUCAGGUUGUUGGUGGGGUAGUGGCUUACCAAGGCUUUGACGGGUAGCCGGCCUGAGAGGGUGACCGGCCACAUUGGGACUGAGAUGCGGCCCAGACUCCUACGGGAGGCAGCAGUGGGGAAUAUUGCACAAUGGGCGGAAGCCUGAUGCAGCAACGCCGCGUGCGGGAUGACGGCCUUCGGGUUGUAAACCGCUUUCGCCUGUGACGAAGCGUGAGUGACGGUAAUGGGUAAAGAAGCACCGGCUAACUACGUG